AAAGGUUGUGACCUCGAAAAAAAAUGAGAGUUUAGACUCUCCAGUUUCUAGGCCACAGGCCGUACCUGUAUCUACCUUGUCUGGGCGGGUAGACUCUGUUAAAUAUGGUAACAUUGACGCCGAGAUAACUGUACAGUCCUCACCUCCCAUCUCAGACCAGUUUGUCAGGGCAGGUAUUGCAGCAGUCAGUUUUUUAUCUGAUGUGGUUAACUAUAAGAUACCUAUGUUAGAUGGAAGCAAAGUGCUUAGCUCAUCCAACAACUGUAUGGUGGAUCAUACAAAGCCUGUAUCCAAUGUGAGACCAUCAAAUAUAAAUACCUCCAGAAAUGACAAACUUCAAGGAAAAGCUUCUACUGAUACACCUGUAACGUCAACCCUUGCACAUAAUUCGAAUUACACAAAAAACAAAGGUGAUAAAAGUAAUUCAGUCAGAGGCAGGAAUCCUGUUUCGAACAGUUCUGUUGGGAAAGUGGAGAGCCAUGGUGUUAUCCCAGAUUCUCGUGACCGAAGGAAGACAAUGCCUCCAAAGCCCAGAACAUAUCCAAAUCGUAACAUGACAAAUGUGCGUGGCUCUGAAGGAAAGCUUAAGCAUGAGAUUCCUGAAGGUUUCAGCAGGCCACAACGAGCAACAAAGUUGCCAAGUGCAGGAGUAAUGGUCAGGCAGUUCUCUAAUAGUAGUCAUGUUGUUGGAACAGUUUCUCGCAUUAUACAACAGUUAAAUUGGAGUCCCGAGACAGAAAAUGCUCUUCGUGAACUCAACUAUUUAUUAGAUCCAUACCAAGCAAACCAAGUUCUUAAGCAGAUCCAUGAUCAUGCGGUUGCUCUUGGCUUUUUCUACUGGUUGAAGCAGCAACCAGGAUUUAAGCAUGACGGACACACCUAUACGACCAUGGUUGGCAUCCUGGGACGUGCUAGGCAGUUUGGGGCUAUUAACAAGUUGCUUGAGCAGAUGGUCAAAGAUGGAUGCCAA
Molecule: unclassified non-coding RNA, 970 nt
Filed under: Hevea brasiliensis (rubber tree)
Lineage: Eukaryota; Viridiplantae; Streptophyta; Magnoliopsida; Malpighiales; Euphorbiaceae
Source: RNAcentral